RNAcentral lists this ribosomal RNA (498 nucleotides) under uncultured bacterium. RNAcentral describes it as "partial 16S ribosomal RNA". It matches the Rfam family "Bacterial small subunit ribosomal RNA", at positions 28 to 507 of the family's 1533-position model. The record is from RNAcentral.
GACGAACGCUGGCGGCGUGCCUAAUACAUGCAAGUCGAACGAGAGCGACCGGUGCUUGCACUGGUCAAUCUAGUGGCGAACGGGUGAGUAACACGUGGGUAACCUGCCCAUCAGAGGGGGAUAACAUCCGGAAACGGAUGCUAAAACCGCAUAGGUCUUCGAACCGCAUGGUUUGAAGAGGAAAAGAGGCGCAAGCUUCUGCUGAUGGUUGGACCCGCGGUGCAUUAGCUAGUUGGUGAGGUAACGGCUCACCAAGGCCGUGAUGCAUAGCCGACCUGAGAGGGUGAUCGGCCACAUUGGGACUGAGACACGGCCCAGACUCCUACGGGAGGCAGCAGUAGGGAAUCUUCCACAAUGGACGCAAGUCUGACGGAGCAACGCCGCGUGAGUGAAGAAGGUUUUCGGAUCGUAAAACUCUGUUGUUAGAGAAGAACAAGUGCUAGAGUAACUGUUAGCGCCUUGACGGUAUCUAACCAGAAAGCCACGGCUAACUACGUG